UACGAAGGGGGCUAGCGUUGCUCGGAAUUACUGGGCGUAAAGGGCGCGUAGGCGGAUGUUUAAGUCAGCGGUGAAAGCCCAGGGCUCAACCUUGGAACUGCCAUUGAUACUGGACAUCUUGAGUACGGGAGAGGUGAGUGGAACUCCGAGUGUAGAGGUGAAAUUCGUAGAUAUUCGGAAGAACACCAGUGGCGAAGGCGGCUCACUGGACCAAUACUGACGCUGAGACACGAAAGCGUGGGGAGCAAACAGG
Molecule: ribosomal RNA, 253 nt
Filed under: uncultured bacterium
Lineage: Bacteria
Description: partial 16S ribosomal RNA
Rfam family: Bacterial small subunit ribosomal RNA
Source: RNAcentral